This 450-nucleotide ribosomal RNA is filed under the name uncultured bacterium. RNAcentral's name for it is "partial 16S ribosomal RNA". It matches the Rfam family "Bacterial small subunit ribosomal RNA", at positions 354 to 796 of the family's 1533-position model. The record is from RNAcentral.
GUGGGGAAUUUUGGACAAUGGGCGCAAGCCUGAUCCAGCAAUGCCGCGUGCAGGAAGAAGGCCUUCGGGUUGUAAACUGCUUUUGUACGGAACGAAACGGUCCUGGUUAAUACCCGGGGCUAAUGACAGUACCGUAAGAAUAAGCACCGGCUAACUACGUGCCAGCAGCCGCGGUAAUACGUAGGGUGCAAGCGUUAAUCGGAAUUACUGGGCGUAAAGCGUGCGCAGGCGGUGCUGUAAGACAGGCGUGAAAUCCCCGGGCUUAACCUGGGAAUUGCGCUUGUGACUGCAGUGCUGGAGUGCAGCAGAGGGGGAUGGAAUUCCGCGUGUAGCAGUGAAAUGCGUAGAUAUGCGGAGGAACACCGAUGGCGAAGGCAAUCCCCUGGGCCUGCACUGACGCUCAUGCACGAAAGCGUGGGGAGCAAACAGGAUUAGAAACCCCUGUAGUCC